Molecule: ribosomal RNA, 725 nt
Filed under: uncultured Flexibacteraceae bacterium
Lineage: Bacteria; Pseudomonadati; Bacteroidota; Cytophagia; Cytophagales; Cytophagaceae
Description: bacterial SSU rRNA
Rfam family: Bacterial small subunit ribosomal RNA
Source: RNAcentral
GGCGAACGGGUGCGUAACGCGUAAGGAACCUGCCCUUCACUGGGGGAUAGCUUUGCGAAAGCGAAGGUAAACCCGCAUGGUUCUGUGAGAUCGCAUGGUUUUACAGAUAAAUAUUUAUAGGUGAAGGAGGGUCUUGCGUCGGAUUAGUUAGUUGGCAGGGUAACGGCCUACCAAGACGAUGAUCCGUAGGGGCUCUGAGAGGAGCGGCCCCCACAUGGACACUGAGACACGGGUCCAACUCCUACGGGAGGCAGCAGUAGGGAAUAUUGGGCAAUGGCCGGAAGGCUGUCCCAGCCAUGCCGCGUGGAGGAAGACGGCCCUCUGGGUUGUAAACUCCUUUUAUCGGGGAAGAACAGCACUCUUGCGAGGGUGUGUGACGGUACUCGAGGAAUAAGCACCGGCUAACUCCGUGCCAGCAGCCGCGGUAAUACGGAGGGUGCAAGCGUUGUCCGGAUUUAUUGGGUUUAAAGGGUGCGUAGGUGGUCUGAUAAGUCUGGUUUGAAAGUUGGUCGCUUAACGAUCAAGGGUGGCUGGAUACUGUUGGACUUGAAUGGGGUGGCGGUAGCCGGAAUGGGUUGUGUAGCGGUGAAAUGCAUAGAGAUGACCCGGAACACCGAUUGCGAAGGCAGGCUACUACGCCUUAAUUGACACUGAGGCACGAGAGCAUGGGGAGCAAACAGGAUUAGAUACCCUGGUAGUCCAUGCCGUAAACGAUGAUUACUGGC